GCAGCUUCCACAUUACUGACGGUGUUGAGGAAAUCUUCCUGCAGGUCGACUCGUUCGCUGUAUUUUCUACAACAAGUCGUCUCUUUUCAUCCUGAGUUCAUCUCAUGUUCCUCAGCUGAAGCAGCUGCACACAUGUGAAGCUCCUCUGAGCCCCAGGCAGAGGGAGCUGGCUUCAGAGCGCCCCCUGCUGGAGGAAAGUGGGCAUGGCUCUCUUGUCGACCUGCUGGCGCCUCAUGCGGACGACGGCUGCGUCCACCUGAGCUGCCGCUGUCUUGCCGUGCAGGUCGUCCAGCAGCUGCAGACAGGUGCGCUGCAGCCUCACCAGCUCGCCUUCAGAGGCCUGUCGGUGUCGCCUCAGCAACACGCUGCCCUGAAAGACACACCGGAAACACAUCUCCACGUGGGUUUGGAAACAGUGAUCACCUGAAUGAGCUGAGCAGCCUCAGGUAACUGAGUCCCCGGAUGUCUCUGGUAAACCUGCACCACAGGCCUGUUGAGCUUCUCUCUGGACAGUAUGUCUCCACUGUACUCUGGACCCUGAAGGCAAAAUAAAAUGCAAAAAUUAACAGGCCAUCGUUGACGGAGCGAUGAGCAGCUUUCUGCCUGCUGAUGGCGCCGGUUAGCAUCCGUCUGAUGUUUUCCCUCAGCAGCUGUGACUGCUUCACUGUCUGAGUGGACGACUCUAAAACCUGUUUACACUCUGCAAGAACACAUGGGAACUGUGAGAUGAACCCAAGCAGGAACCAUCCAACAACAACCUGAACUCCUGUCCCUGAAUUGAACUCUCUGAACUCUCUUUCUGAGCUUUUUUGCCUCAUUUUUUUUCUCACUGUUGGAUCAUUUUUCACUGCAAAAGAAAGUCCUGUGUCUCUAUGGAUACAGCACAGCCAUGACUAGCAAGAGAGAAAACUCAGAAAUUUCUUCUGUGGAGUAUGACACAGUUAUAAUGACACAAAUCAGAAAAAAAACAUAGUCACAUUUCUUUGAAUAAUUAUUGGGUGGGACACUACAGCAAGCUUCACUUCUUCAGUUUUAUGCUCUAUACAGACUGAUAUUUUUAAUUUGGAUCCACUGUUUUCUGUUAAUUUUGACUUUUUUUAAGGGGAUGUAUUUGAAAAAUUUGUGGUUUGAAGUCAGCUUUUCUAGUGAUGCUCCAUUUGAUGUUUGUAAAAUGAACUCUACUUCUUUGGUGUCGUCCUGUGCAGUCUGUCCUUGCCUGCUGUCCAGGGCGUACCUGGUGU
Amphiprion ocellaris (clown anemonefish) is the source of this 1241-nucleotide long non-coding RNA. RefSeq lists it as uncharacterized. The transcript has 4 exons. The record is from RefSeq and is a predicted model, not a curated record. NCBI's taxonomy places the organism in Eukaryota, Metazoa, Chordata, Actinopteri, Pomacentridae.